This 253-nucleotide ribosomal RNA is filed under the name uncultured bacterium. RNAcentral describes it as "partial 16S ribosomal RNA". It matches the Rfam family "Bacterial small subunit ribosomal RNA", at positions 524 to 776 of the family's 1533-position model. The record is from RNAcentral.
UACAGAGGGGGCAAGCGUUAUUCGGAAUUAUUGGGCAUAAAGGGCGGGUAGGCGGCCUGGCAAGUGGAAGGUGAAAUCCCUCGGCUUAACCGAGGAACUGCCUCCCAAACUGCUUGGCUUGAGACCAGGAGAGGUGAGUGGAAUUCCCAGUGUAGCGGUGAAAUGCGUAGAUAUUGGGAGGAACACCAGUGGCGAAGGCGGCUCACUGGACUGGUACUGACGCUGAGGCGCGAAAGCGUGGGGAGCAAACGGG